This 263-nucleotide ribosomal RNA is filed under the name Elphidium sp. S1. RNAcentral's name for it is "partial small subunit ribosomal RNA". It matches the Rfam family "Eukaryotic small subunit ribosomal RNA", at positions 1521 to 1781 of the family's 1831-position model. Lineage: Eukaryota; Foraminifera; Rotaliida; Elphidiidae. The record is from RNAcentral.
UUUUUUUAUUAUGCGUGUGUGUUUUAUUACCGUGUACGCGUAAUUGUUAAUUCAUGGUGGGGAUAGACCAUUGUUAAUUGUUGGUCUCGGUCUUAACUAGGAAUGCCUUGUACGGGUCAUUGGUUCAACAAACCACCCGGAAUACGUCCCUGCCCUUUGUACACACCGCCCGUCGCUCUUACCGAUGAACUUCGCUAUGAAUCUGUUGGACUGUAUCCUUUAAUGAAUACGGAAAGAUAUAUGAAUAGUGUGGUUUAAAGGAA